CGAUUUCUGCCUUUUUUCAGAGCGUUGUACACAUCACUAAACUAGAAUCUGCUGCUGGGAGGUUCUGCAGAACUUUGGCCCGCUUUGCUAAUAAAAUUUAGCUGAUGCUAAGUGCAUUAGCCUAUUAGCCGCUGUGAAGCGGCACUGCUUCAAUCAUUUUUAUCGGAGCCGCUAAAAGGCACCGCAUUCCAGGCUUUUAUUUUACUGGCAGCAACAUGGCACAGAGUUUCUGUUUGGUACCCAACCAAGUAAAAACGAAGUAGUUCAUACCUGUGUCCGAAUUACUGCCCUAACCCCUAUAUAGUGCCCUAUAUAGUGCGGUCGCCAUUUUGUAGUGCUGUCCGAAUCUACAGUUCAAAAAUCAUGUGCACUAGAAAUUUCCCAGAAUUCUCUACGAAAAACCAGUGUGGAUCGAUGCUCACUCGAUCGGCGAAUAUUGCCCAGAAUGCACUGCGUUCAUACCAGAAUACCCACAAUACACUGCGUUUGAAUUAUUCGAAGAUGGCGGACGGUUGCGCUAGAAAGAGGACUUAAAAAUGGACAGACGAGGAUGAGGAAAAUCUGAUCCAUCUGUGGAUGGAGAAAGAUAGCCUGUUUGUUAUCAGGCAAGCUCGUGCCGGAUGGGAAGUCAUGUGUGUCACAGUUGGAGCUAAAAGGAAAGCAGAGAUCUGUCCUUGCAGACGGACGCCACUUUACCCGUCCUACUGGUUCCUGCUGUGGCUCAACAUCUGUGGCUCCCAGCAGUCCCCUUUGCUGAUGCACAGAUCGUGCAGAACUGAACUGCAGGCAAUGAUUUUCAUUGCAAAGGUUGGUUUUACUUCCAGUGCCCCCAGAAAUAUUGCUCUCCUCCUCAUUUGCCAAAUGCUCUCUCUCCACCACAGAGCAUGCCUUGGCGUGGUGCUGGUUGUAACGGGCCUGAACCGCAUUCCUCAUGGGUUCCCUGUAGGGUGUCAGCAGCGUGAUGGGAUGAGCAAUGCAGGGAUACCCACCAUCACCCAAAAGGAUCCUUCAGGUGGGUAAUGUUUGAUUUACAUAAAUUGGGCUUUUACGUAGAACGUGUGAACUGUGGACUGAUCCUUGAUUCCCAACAAAAAUAUCUCUAAAUUUGGCUUAGAGUCACAUACAGCCUGCAGUUGAAUGGAAUAAAAAAGCUUCCUGUUAAAAUAACAAGCUGCAUUUUCUUUUAGGGCCUUUAUUCUUCAGUGGCAGCCAUCAAUGCUCCCCACGACCUUUUGGAAGGUGGAAGACCAAGCAAGCUGCUAAAAGACCAGAGGUGACUAAUGGCCCUGGCUACCACACUGUAUGAUGUGCCACACGCCAGCCAGAAAAGAAACACCAGGACCUCAGUCUCCUGUGCCCCCCCUAGAGUGUGAGGAACCCCAAGCUGCUCCACCAGAUGCUCAAUGGUCCUGCGGGUCAACCGAUCUGCAGGUCUGCCGGUCUGGUUUUGUGUCGGACUGAGCGUCAGCGUGAAGGGCCACGACAGACACCUUUAUGUUUGCAAAGCAGUAGAGACGUGGAAGACCCUGUAAAAUAGAAAAAUAAUUAUUUCAUUGAGAAAAUUAAAUCUGAUUUUUUUGAAUGUUUCAUUUUAUUCUGAUGUCUUACAUUUUAGUUUAUGACGUAUUUAUUAAUGCUGGAAAAUCUCGUGGGUUUUUUUUUGGCUGGGUUUUUGGAUUUUUAUAUAAAUAUUAAAAAAUUAAAGUAUUUUUGUUUAAAACAAGUGAUAUGGUUUGACUCUGAAUAAAAAAUACUAAACUUUGAACUCACAAGUGUUUCAUGUAGUUAGACUAUACAGUUCAUAGUCCAGUGUUGAAAAAGAAUUUUAAACUCUUACCCAGCAGACUGUGUAAUCUUGAGCACAAUUAGUGACAAAUGCUUAAAUUGAACUAAUAAAAAAACUUUAAGUUUAACUUACAGAUGGUUUAUGUCUGGUCAGGGGCAUCCAGAGGAAAUCUUCUGAGACGUCUGCUUCUCCUUGCCGUCCUGUGAUGCUGCAUAUCUGCUCGUUUUUGGUUUGAUCCCAUGAAAAACGGUUGAAUUAUUGCCAGGAACACGGACAGAUUCAUAUAUAAAGCUAUUUUCAGUAAGGUAGAAGAGAAAACUACAGAAAAAAAUGCCUCCUCGCAAGAGCCCGUAAAUCGUUCAGCGGCACAAAAACAAAUAUUGCCAUGGAGUAAUAAAAUAGGGGUUUAUUUAUCAACAAAUACAUAAAAUCACCACCAAUGUGUUUGUAAUUUUAUUAUUUAUAAAUCAGCCACGUUUUCCAUGAUCAGAACACAGCAGAUGCAUCAAUAGUCUUCAUAAAAUGUUCAUAUUUAUUAUAUUUUUAAUUUGACAAAUGGGUGUCAUUCUCCGCGUUAAAUAGAAGUAGUUCCCCCCAGACCAGGUGGUGGCGGUAAUGCGCCACUUUGUUUCCGUGCCAAGCGCCAUUUGAAAACACCCGAAAGAGAAAACUAGUGAGCACGGGUGUCCGAAUUGCUUUGAAAAUUCAGAGAACUAUAUAGAGAACUAUAUAGUGCCGCACUAUAUAGGGUUUUAGUAGUUAGGGGUUAGGGCGGUAAUUCGGACACAGUCCAUGUCUCAUAAGAAGGAAACAAGCUCCCUCUAACUGAGAUCUUCCUGUUGUCUUGCGUGGUAUAGAGCUGCUCAAAGAGGCUCUGUGGGCUCUGCUGCCAACUAGCGGUCGGAGGUCGAAGUGGAAAACAACGUGCAGAAAUAAUUAAAUAUCUUCCAGACAGCAUUUUGAAUCCAUACAAG
RNAcentral lists this long non-coding RNA (2760 nucleotides) under Oryzias sinensis (Chinese medaka). Its description in RNAcentral is "lncRNA (ENSOSIG00000001065.1)". The record is from RNAcentral. Lineage: Eukaryota; Metazoa; Chordata; Actinopteri; Beloniformes; Adrianichthyidae.